AGAGAGGAUGCCCAUGGUCUGCAGUGUGAGCACAGUCUUGAUGUUGGAGGACAGGAGACAGGGACCAAGAGUUCUGCCUGUGCAUGGCAAGCGAGGCUGAGUUGGCUGAGUUGGAUAUACAGCUCCUCCUGCCUUUGCCCAGCCUCAAAUGAUGAUUCUGGAUCCAAAUCACAGGCAUUUUCUCCCAAAUGCAGAACACCAACCCUACUGCAGAGAUUCCCACUGAGAACACAGCUAAUGCCCACUGCUUUCCAGGCUAACUUCAUGGAAGCACACCAAAGCCAGGGCUUCAGCAGUGUUUCUAGUCCAAUUGGGUUUCCCUGGGUUAUUCAUUAUUUUCAGAGGAAAAUAAAUCCUUUGGCCUGUGAAAAUGCUGUGAUGACUCUCA
This is a long non-coding RNA of Corvus hawaiiensis (hawaiian crow), 388 nucleotides long. RefSeq lists it as uncharacterized. Lineage: Eukaryota; Metazoa; Chordata; Aves; Passeriformes; Corvidae. The transcript is spliced from 2 exons. The record is from RefSeq and is a predicted model, not a curated record.